UACGUAUGGAGCAAGCGUUAUCCGGAUUUACUGGGCGUAAAGGGAGCGUAGGCGGCCUGCCAAGUCUGAUGUGAAAUACCGGGGCUCAACCCCGGGGCUGCCGUUGAAACCGGAGCGCUAGAAUUCCGAUGCCGUCGGAGGAAUGUGUGGUGUAGCGGUGAAAUGCAUAGAUAUCACACAGAACACCGAUUGCGAAGGCAGCUUACCAAUCUAUAUCUGACGUUGAGGCACGAAAGCGUGGGGAGCAAACAGG
This 253-nucleotide ribosomal RNA is filed under the name uncultured bacterium. RNAcentral's name for it is "partial 16S ribosomal RNA". It matches the Rfam family "Bacterial small subunit ribosomal RNA", at positions 524 to 776 of the family's 1533-position model. The record is from RNAcentral.